GACGAACGCUGGCGGCGUGCUUAAUACAUGCAAGUCGACUGAACUUAAGGUAGCAAUAUUUUAAGGGAGGUGGCGCACGGGUGAGUAACACGUAGGUAAUCUGCCUUUAGGACUGACAUAACUCCGCGAAAGCGGAGCUAAUUUCAGAUGAUGCAGCGGCUCGACAUCGAGACAGUUGUUAAACCUUCGGCGCUGCCCGAGGAUGAGCCCGCGUCCCAUUAGCUAGUUGGCGGGGUAACGGCCCACCAAGGCGAUGAUGGGUAGGCGGCCUGAGAGGGUGUACGCCCACACUGGGACUGAGAUACGGCCCAGACUCCUACGGGAGGCAGCAGCUAAGAAUAUUCCGCAAUGGACGAAAGUCUGACGGAGCGACGCCGCGUGGAUGAUGAAGGCCGAAAGGUUGUAAAGUCCUUUGCUGGGAAGAAUAACCAUGGAGGGAAUGCCCGUGGGAUGACAUGAACCGGCGAAUAAGCCCCGGCUAACUACGUGCCAGCAGCCG
This 499-nucleotide ribosomal RNA is filed under the name uncultured bacterium. Its description in RNAcentral is "bacterial SSU rRNA". It matches the Rfam family "Bacterial small subunit ribosomal RNA", at positions 28 to 517 of the family's 1533-position model. The record is from RNAcentral.